ACCCGCUGUACUUAAGCAUAUCAAUAAGCGGAGGAAAAGAAACCAACGGGGAUUGCCUUCGUAACGGCGAGUGAAGCGGCAAAAGCUCAUAUUUGAAAUCAGCCAUAAGGCCGAGUUGUAAUUUGCAGAGGAUCCUAUGGAUUAUAUCUGGAUUGAAGUCCUUUGGAAAAAGGCGCCCAGGAAGGUGACAGCCCUGUACUUUCUAGCAUAUUUCUAUGUAUAGCUCCUUCAAAGAGUCGAGUUGUUUGGGAAUGCAGCUCUAAAUGGGAGGUAAAUUUCUUCCAAAGCUAAAUAUCAACUAGAGACCGAUAGCGCACAAGUAGAGUGAUCGAAAGAUGAAAAGCACUUUGAAAAGAGAGUUAAAAAGCACGUGAAAUUGUUGAAAGGGAAGCUUAUGUCAUCAGAAAUGGUAUUAAUGUUCAGCCUUUUGGUGUAUUCAUUGAUGUCAGGCUAGCAUCAAUCCGGAUAGUUGGAUAAAGGUUUUGAGAAUGAUCUCUUCGGAGUGUUUAGCUCGAUUCGGAAUGCAUUAACCCAGCUGAGGUCCGCUCUUAGGAUGUUGGAUCAUGGUGGGUGAGGCCCGCUGAANCACGGACGUCUGAAACACGGA
RNAcentral lists this ribosomal RNA (607 nucleotides) under Architrypethelium murisporum. RNAcentral's name for it is "eukaryotic LSU rRNA". It matches the Rfam family "Eukaryotic large subunit ribosomal RNA", at positions 23 to 665 of the family's 3401-position model. The record is from RNAcentral. Lineage: Eukaryota; Fungi; Ascomycota; Dothideomycetes; Trypetheliales; Trypetheliaceae.